UNAGGCCCUGGCACGUGCAUAACACAUGCCAGUCGAACGAUGAAGCAUUCUUCGGAAUGUGGAAGAGUGGCGAACGGGUGAGGAACACGUAAGAAUCUGCCCCUCGGUCGGGGACAACUCUUGGAAACGAGAGCUAAUACCCGAUACGCUGUGGAGUGAAAGAAUUUCGCCGAGGGAUGAUCUUGCGUCUGAUUAGCUAGUUGGUGUGGUAAUGGCACACCAAGGCGACGAUCAGUAGCUGGUCUGAGAGGAUGAACAGCCACAUUGGAACU
This 272-nucleotide ribosomal RNA is filed under the name uncultured prasinophyte. Its description in RNAcentral is "partial 16S ribosomal RNA". It matches the Rfam family "Bacterial small subunit ribosomal RNA", at positions 43 to 320 of the family's 1533-position model. The record is from RNAcentral. Lineage: Eukaryota; Viridiplantae; Chlorophyta.